GUCUUUUUGAUUUUAAUUUAAAGUCUAACCUGCUCAAUGAAUUUUAAAUAGCUGCGGUAUUUUGACCGUACAAAGGUAGCAUAAUCAAUAGUUUUUUAAUUGAAAACUGGAAUGAAGGGUUGAAUAAGAAAAUAACUGUCUCAAUUUAAUUUUAUUAAAACUUUAUUUUUAAGUUAAAAAGCUUAAAUUUAAUUUAAAGACGAGAAGACCCUAUAGAGUUUAAUUAUUUUAAGAAAUUUCAAUUUUAAAGAAUUUAAAAUUUAAUUUUUUAUAAUAAUUUAAUUGGGGUGAUUGAAAAAUUUAAUUAACUUUUUUUUAUUUAAUACAAUUAUUUUUGAAUUUAUGAUCCAUAAAAAUGAUUAUAAGAUUAAAUUACCUUAGGGAUAACAGCGUAAUUUUUUUUUAGAGUUCAAAUCGAAAAGAGAGAUUGCGACCUCGAUGUUGGAUUAAAAUUAAUUUUUGGUGUAGAAGCUAAAAUAUUAGGUCUGUUCGACCUUUAAAAUUUUACA
This 509-nucleotide ribosomal RNA is filed under the name Sericoderus sp. CO954. RNAcentral's name for it is "partial 16S ribosomal RNA". The stretch from base 383 to 509 matches the Rfam family "Archaeal large subunit ribosomal RNA", at positions 2542 to 2669 of the family's 2987-position model. Lineage: Eukaryota; Metazoa; Arthropoda; Insecta; Coleoptera; Corylophidae. The record is from RNAcentral.